Molecule: ribosomal RNA, 305 nt
Filed under: uncultured bacterium
Lineage: Bacteria
Description: bacterial SSU rRNA
Rfam family: Bacterial small subunit ribosomal RNA
Source: RNAcentral
CCUACGGGAGGCAGCAGUCGGGAAUAUUGCGCAAUGGAGGAAACUCUGACGCAGUGACGCCGCGUAUAGGAAGAAGGUUUUCGGAUUGUAAACUAUUGUCGUUAGGGAAGAUAAAAGACUGUACCUAAGGAGGAAGCCCCGGCUAACUCCGUGCCAGCAGCCGCGGUAAUACGGAGGAUGCGAGCGUUAUCCGGAUUUAUUGGGUUUAAAGGGUGCGUAGGCGGGCUGUUAAGUCAGCGGUAAAAGCCCGGGGCUCAACCCCGGCGAGCCGUUGAAACUGGCUGUCUUGAGAUGUCGAGAGGUAU